RNAcentral lists this ribosomal RNA (372 nucleotides) under uncultured organism. RNAcentral's name for it is "partial 16S ribosomal RNA". It matches the Rfam family "Bacterial small subunit ribosomal RNA", at positions 526 to 896 of the family's 1533-position model. The record is from RNAcentral.
GUAGGGGAGCAAGCGUUAUCCGGAUUUACUGGGUGUAAAGGGCGCGCAGGCGGGAAGACAAGUUGGGGAGUGAAAUCCGGGGGCUCAACCCCGAACUGCUUUCAAAACUGUUUUUCUUGAGUGAUGGAGAGGCAGGCGGAAUUCCCAGUGUAGCGGUGAAAUGCGUAGAUAUUGGGAGGAACACCAGUGGCGAAGGCGGCCUGCUGGACAUUAACUGACGCUGAGGCGCGAAAGCGUGGGGAGCAAACAGGAUUAGAUACCCUGGUAGUCCACGCCGUAAACGAUGGAUACUAGGUGUGGGAGGUAUUGACCCCUUCCGUGCCGGCGUUAACACAAUAAGUAUCCCACCUGGGGAGUACGAUCGCAAGGUUG